Molecule: non-coding RNA, 72 nt
Organism: Podarcis lilfordi (Lilford's wall lizard)
Lineage: Eukaryota; Metazoa; Chordata; Lepidosauria; Squamata; Lacertidae
Source: the annotation of a GenBank genome assembly
GCCAUAGCUCAGUGGCAGAGCACCUACUUUGUAUGCAGAAGGUCCCAGGUUCAGUCACUGACCGUGUCUGCA